CCCCUCUCCAGAUCGCAACUGGAGAGUUUCAAGUACUCUACCAGUCUUGACUACUGGAGGGAGAGUCAAGCAGAGGUGUAACCAUUCCAUUCCUAGCUUGGGCAGUGGCUAGUGAGUGGUAGGCAAUCUGCUACAAGU
This is a small nucleolar RNA of Tachyglossus aculeatus (Australian echidna), 138 nucleotides long. The record is from RefSeq and is a predicted model, not a curated record. Lineage: Eukaryota; Metazoa; Chordata; Mammalia; Monotremata; Tachyglossidae.